Molecule: long non-coding RNA, 928 nt
Organism: Octopus bimaculoides (California two-spot octopus)
Lineage: Eukaryota; Metazoa; Mollusca; Cephalopoda; Octopoda; Octopodidae
Source: RefSeq, a predicted model, not a curated record
ACGUGUCAUUGUAAACUUAAAAUAUAUAUAUAUCACAGCUAUAAAUCAGAAAUUCAUGUUGAGAAUGUAUGCUUACGAUUUGUAUAAACAAUAUACGGCAGCUGCGAAACGAAAACUUUGAAAGAUUUUACAACACUAAUUAUUUUCUCCUUUUUUUUUUUUUUUAAAAAAAGGUAUUUCAGCUCACAUUCAGGAUUUCAAGACAAAUGACGUUGGAAAAAUACAAAAGAAUUUAUCUGGCAAUCCAAUAUAAUGAUUCAGAUGCAUACAUUUGCGGUAACAUUGUUCCUCCUUGUCCUUCCCAAAAUCGUUAUGAAAACUGUACUCGAUUGUAGCGACUGUUUCUAUGAAGCAAAAUGCUUUUGUAGCGGGCAACAUACGCGCGUACAACAAUCAAUGGACGCAUGUGACGAAAUAUCAUGUCUCAACGAUGACAUGAAAACGAUGAGAAGCUGUAAGUAAAAAUCAGUAAUUAAUAUAUAUAUAUAUAUAUAUACUUUCUUCACAUUUUUCAUAUCAGACGAGUUAGCUAUUGGUUAUGUUCUUAUGCGUGAAUACUUAAAUAGUUAAUGAAGAAUGUGACUUAUGCUACCAGCUUUUAGGUUCGUUCUUGUAGCGUGUUCUAAUUUUAUGAACGAAAAUAUAUUGAUCUUGCUUUGUAAUCAUUCCUAGCACACAGGGAAUUAAUUAUGGAUGUAAGUGGAUUAAAUUACGAUGAGGAUAACAGAUGUACAGAAAAACGACAAAGACAGCUAAGGGAACAACAAGCAUGUAUAUUAGUUUGACGUUCGGGAAGAAUAGAAAAGCAUUUGACGUUUCGAGCAUUCGCGCUUUGACAGAAAGUGAGAGGAAAAAAUCGAGAGAGAGAAAAUGUAUUGGUAUUAUCGGUGUAACGACGAAAAAAGAUAUAUAUAUAUAUAUAUAUGUC